GAUGAACGCUGGCGGCGUGCCUAAUACAUGCAAGUCGAGCGAACAGACGAGGAGCUUGCUCCUCUGACGUUAGCGGCGGACGGGUGAGUAACACGUGGAUAACCUACCUAUAAGACUGGGAUAACUUCGGGAAACCGGAGCUAAUACCGGAUAAUAUAUUGAACCGCAUGGUUCAAUAGUGAAAGACGGUUUUGCUGUCACUUAUAGAUGGAUCUGCGCCGCAUUAGCUAGUUGUUAAGGUAAUGGGUUACCAAGGGGAGUAUGCGUAGCCGACCGCGGAGGGUGGUCGCCCACCCUGGAGCUGGGACGCGGUCCAGGGUCCUACGGGACGCAGCAGUAGGGAAUCUUCCGCAAUGGGCGAAAGCCUGACGGAGCAACGCCGCGUGAGUGAUGACGGUCUUCGGAUCGUAAAACUCUGUUAUUAGGGAAGAACAAAUGUGUAAGUAACUAUGCACGUCGUGACGGUACCUAAUCAGAAAGCCACGGCUAACUACGUG
RNAcentral lists this ribosomal RNA (497 nucleotides) under uncultured bacterium. RNAcentral's name for it is "partial 16S ribosomal RNA". It matches the Rfam family "Bacterial small subunit ribosomal RNA", at positions 28 to 507 of the family's 1533-position model. The record is from RNAcentral.